CAUCGCGAGAUGGAAUCUGAAGGAAGCCGGAUGUUUCGUGGGAAAAUACUAAUCUGAAACGGACAAAAUCCCGACCUGCCGAACAGAAAUCUUAUAUAAGGUUACUCUGCAUGGAUGAGAACACUUCUCAGUUCAAAGUUAAAACUGUCCGGAAUGCAGAGUGAUAGAUGAGGCAGGUAAAUGGGAUGAAAGCUG
This 195-nucleotide non-coding RNA is filed under the name uncultured Bulleidia sp. The record is from RNAcentral. Lineage: Bacteria; Bacillati; Bacillota; Erysipelotrichia; Erysipelotrichales; Erysipelotrichaceae.